This 92-nucleotide transfer RNA is filed under the name Daphnia magna. It matches the Rfam family "tRNA". From Rfam's summary of the family: Transfer RNA (tRNA) molecules are approximately 80 nucleotides in length. The record is from Rfam by way of RNAcentral. Lineage: Eukaryota; Metazoa; Arthropoda; Branchiopoda; Diplostraca; Daphniidae.
GGUCUCAUGGCUUAGAUGGCAAAGCGCCUGCCUAGUAAAACAUCGGGAGCAUGGGUAGCAGGAGAUCACGAGUUCGAGUCUCGUUGGGACCU